Long non-coding RNA from Pezoporus occidentalis (night parrot), 1854 nucleotides. RefSeq lists it as uncharacterized. The record is from RefSeq and is a predicted model, not a curated record. The transcript is spliced from 3 exons. NCBI's taxonomy places the organism in Eukaryota, Metazoa, Chordata, Aves, Psittaciformes, Psittacidae.
AGGAGCUUACCUCGAAGAAUGUUUCGGUUUCUGUGUACAACUGACUAUUCUGGAUCAUCUGAUAUUCCCAAGGCUUGCACAUCAAACAAUACAGGAUUUGAUAAGCUAUCUGCAACUAAGAGAAUCAUUUUCAAAGGGUCAUCCGCUUCGCAGCACAGAAUCUAAGGAUAAGAGGGGACAGUUUUAGAGAUAGCUUUUGACUGUGCAGCUCCAUCCCAGCCAAGUCAUCGCAGCCGAUGAACGCUGGCCCACCACCAACUUGGGCUAAUUAUUAUAAUGCUUUUGAGCUCAGUCUGGCUAAUGCCUACUGCUGUGGCACCUGAGAAGGAAGACUGCAAUUAGCCAUGCUUUUAUCUUUAUUGAAGACUUGCCUGCCCAGGAGCAUGUGCCAGCCACGUGACUUGCUGGACUGCUGAGGCAAAUGCCUGUGUCAGUAAUGUCUCUGUGGGAUUCAGAGCCAAUUUCCAAUUUGCCUUUCUCUUCUCUCCCAUUUUUGAAGGAAGGCGAAUAAUUUUAAUUCUUUUUGCAAUGUACAUAGAAUAUAAUAAUAUCAAAUAAUCAUUUAAUGUAUCUGUGUCAGUAAUUUAAUCUUUUUAUUAGUGUUUUUCAGCUUAAAAUUCAUAUCAGGGUACAGAAGAAACCACCACGUCAGCAUCCUGUAAUUAAUGUAAAUGUAAAAGACAGCUGAGCUGUGAAUAAGAGGUACCUUGUUAACACCAGAGCUUUCAGCUCAUUUCUCUGUCACUGAAUUUAGCAGUGGAGUAAGCCUUCUGUGGCAUCUAAUGUUGUUCCAUAGAUUCUGCUCUGUGCCCAGUCUACGUGAGCCUUAACAUUCCAAAAGAGAAAGGUUUUGUUGUCCUUGGAGGAUGAUUUCCAUGCUGGUGCAUACCACUCCCAGAAAUCUUAUCUGGAAGUUCUGACUCAGGUUUGCCAUUUUUGGAUUAAAUUAUUUCCCUUUCAAACACUGCCCUUAACAAACUCUUCUUCUUCUUGACAAUUAAGGCUUUUCAAGUGUUAUAUGCCUCUGUAGAAUGCCUGCUUGUCCUGAGUCUGUACAAUGGUCUUUUAAAAUUUACUUAGGGCACAGCUGCACUGUGACAUACCAUAGUGCAAAUAUCCCUGUGGCAAAGCUGAAUGAGCUGGCUCCAAAACUAGGAUUUGUACUUUGGCUAUUUAGUAGAGAGAGACAAGGGCCAUCUUUUCUGGGUUGCUUUGUUCUGUGUCUGCUGAAUUUGAUACAACGGGGUCCUGGUUUGCAGGUAGGCUUUGUAAGCUCUGCUUUCAGGAAAGAAGUAAUGAAUGUGGCAAGAAAGUUGCACGUCGCUUGUACUGCAGUGUUCAAUGCUAAACAAGGGCGUUCAGUGGGGGCAAUGCUGGUUGAAGAAAACUAUAUGAAAUGUGGCUUAGGAAUCAUGGCAUUUGCACCUCAAGUACAGUCAUAUAAAGGAAGUUUCUUGCUUUAUGGAGGUCUGGAUGGUGAUAUUUCACUGAGAGAUGGAGAAGUAACACAGGGAGAAAAGGUCUUUAUGGUGACAUAAAGGCAAGAAGACUGUAGAAGAUGAAUGUGAAUUAAGAAAAAAAAAAACCAGUAGAGAACAGAAGUAUAGGUAUUUUGUGACAGGUAUUGAAUGGGAGGGAGCCUGGGGUUGUAACUUCUAGAGGGACCAGAAACCAUUAGCAGUAGGAAACCAAAGUAGAUUUGAGGGAAAGGAAAGGGGCCGUUAAAGCCUUUCUCUCAGGAAGAUCAAACUACUAUCAUCUGUCAGCAGGAGCAAAAGCUCCUAGAGGUGAAUGUCAUGGGCAAGAUUUUCAAAGUGUUCAUUCCAGCUGCUCCUACUAAAAUCUGGCAAAGCA